AGAGAUGGAUCUCUUCCAGCAAUGGACCUGCACACAGGUGCUGCAUGGCUGUCGUCAGCUCGUGUCGUGAGAUGUUGGGUUAAGUCCCGCAACGAGCGCAGCCCUCGCCCUUAGUUGCCAGCAUUCAGUUGGGCACUCUAAGGGGACUGCCGGUGAUAAACCGGAGGAAGGCGGGGAUGACGUCAAGUCCUCAUGGCCCUUACAUCCCGGGCUGCACACGUGCUACAAUGGCAGGUACAGAGGGCUGCAAAGCCGCGAGGUAGAGCGAAUCCCAGAAAACCUGUCUCAGUCCGGAUUGAAGUCUGCAACUCGACUUCAUGAAGGCGGAAUCGCUAGUAACCGCGAAUCAGCAGGUCGCGGUGAAUACGUUCCCGGGCCUU
RNAcentral lists this ribosomal RNA (380 nucleotides) under uncultured Latescibacterota bacterium. RNAcentral describes it as "bacterial SSU rRNA". It matches the Rfam family "Bacterial small subunit ribosomal RNA", at positions 1002 to 1382 of the family's 1533-position model. Lineage: Bacteria; Pseudomonadati; Candidatus Latescibacterota. The record is from RNAcentral.